This 2802-nucleotide long non-coding RNA is filed under the name Sus scrofa (pig). Its description in RNAcentral is "lncRNA (ENSSSCG00035055490.1)". The record is from RNAcentral. Lineage: Eukaryota; Metazoa; Chordata; Mammalia; Artiodactyla; Suidae.
GUACCUAAUUCUUUAUAAAAGCAUGCCUGGGUUGUGUUAGAAUCUAAACUUCAAGAAUAUGAAAAGCCCCCCUAUCUUGCAAAGGAUUUGAUAACACAUAGAUCCUUUUGAUUCUAAUUUUUACAUUAGCUGAUGGGUGAUAUCCACAUUCAAGAUGCUUAUCCAAUUUAAACUUUAUUUCAGAAACUUGGAACAACAGAAAAGGAUGGCUUGAAUUUUUAAAAUUAACUUAAUAUUAAUCAGGAAUCUGCCACAUGCAAAGCACCUGCAGAAGAAAUGCAAAAAGCCUGAAAUAUGACUGCUCCUACUCGAGUCGCCAAUAGUCUUAUGAAAGAGAUAACACUUGCAAAAUGUCCUGUUGUAUUAGCCUGCUCAGUUGCUGUAACAAAAUACCAUAGGACAGAGAUUUAUUGCCUCACAUUUCUGGAGACUGUAAAGAUCCAAGAUUGAGGUAUUGGAAAAUUCAGUUCCAGGGUGACACUUCUCAGGAAACCACCAAUAGAGAGUAAAUCAUGGAUUUGGACUCAAAAUAAGGUAGUACCAUCGGAGAGCGCCAACUCCAUCAACUGGAUGAAGGUUGGAGGCACUCCAGAUCUGCUUAGGUGGCAAGGCUGAGCCAGGCUCCAUGAGACUGGAAGGGCUAAUGGUCAUGAGGGCCUGCAGCAAUUCUAUGUAAAAAUAACAUCCAGCUCCCCAGACAUUUGGCAAGGCUCUGAUUGCCGUCCCUUGAGAGUCAGGAAGUCGUGACUGUCAAAUCAGAGCUGAGCGUGGCUGUGGCGGGGGUGGAGGCCGAGGACUGGUAUUAGGACUGCCCUCCCCCUGGAGUGAGUCAGGUUCUGGGUCAGAGUCCACCUGUCCUCAGAAUCAGCCUGUCACACUUGACUCACUCCCUGAUGGUGAAAGCCACCCCCAGCCGCAACUUGAAAAUGUCCCAAAUGGUGGGUAAAGCAAACCUCCAAGCAUUUCAGAAUGGGCAAAGCUGGGAGUCCAGGCAGUAGGAAAAAAAAAAAAAAAAAAAACCCCCUUUUUUUUUUUUUUUUUUUUUUUUUUCUCGUUAGGGCCACACCUGCUGCAUAUGGAGGUUCCCAGGCUAGGGGGUCAAAUCUGAGGUACAGCUGCUGGCCUACACCACAGCCACAGCCAUAGCCACAACAACAGGAUCGGAGCCACGUCUGCAACCUACACCACAGUUCCUGGCAAUGCCAGAUCCUUAACCCACUGAGUGAAGCCAGGGAUCAAACCUGCAACCUCAUGGUUCCUAGUCAGAUUCAUUUCCACUGCACCAUCAUGAAAACUCCAAGACCUGCUUUUUUUGUUUGUUUGUUUUUGUUUUUGUUUUUGAGCCUCUUUUCUGGGUCUAGCAGAGUUCAAAAUUCCGCUUGAACUACCUGGUAACCAUUAUGCUAACUGGUUAACUUGAGGACUGUCUUGCCCAGCAGGGAAUGAGGGAAGAGCUAGAAAAAUAAGUCUACUUGGGGGGCUUAGAUAAGAAUUCAGAAACUGAGACCAAGGGAAAGGCCCAGCUGUGUGAACAGGUGCCCUCAAAAGAGGUUAACAGUUUUAAGAAUCACCUGGACUUAGGGGCCACUUUAAGAGAUUCAAGACAAAAGAGAGUGGAGAGAAGGGCAAAGAGGGGGCUUGGGAAAUGACGGGGGGAGUAAGAGAUGGGUUUGAGUUUCAGCUUCCAGGUCUAUUUUGGAAAAAGAGAGUGUUGCUCUCCUCACCAGCUGCUGCACACCUGCCAGGCUGGAAAGAAGGCUCCGGUGGCUUCCAUGCUGCUUGAUCCAUGACUCCUAGGGUUAGCAACUGUGGUCAGCAAGAAAGCUGGAAGGAGAUGGGAUGGGCAGGCAGGUUGUAAAGGCAUCAUGGUCAAGGGCAGUUGUUUACUGGAAAGGAAACACUGAUUGCCAUGCAAGACAAGUAUUUCUGCAGAAAAAUUAGAAUGAUCUCAGGCUUUUGGAGAAAAAUGUACUUUCAUUUUCACCAAUGAACGUUCUCUCUCCCAAGCUCCAAACAAAUAUCGCUCCCUUUCCCGUCCAGGGACCAGCAACAGACAGCACAGCAAAUCUGCACUCUUUGUGGUUAGUGAGAAAGGAAGUGAAGGACUCUGGGGUCAUAUAUGAGGUGCAGCUAUAUUCAGAGAGCUAGCAGGGAUGCUCUGAGGUCCCUGUAUUCCUCCUCAUUGCCCAAGGAGUGCGCUAAGCAGCAGAGUGGGGGCUGGAGACAGUAGCCAAAACAUCAUAGGGUUUAAGUUCUAAUACCAGCUCUGCCAGCUGCUGAUUUAUGAGGUUUGGGGCAACACAUCUGCUCUCUCGCAGCCUCCUUGCCUGUAUCCCUAAAAUGAGGGGGUUGUUUUAUGAUGCUGAGGAAUGUUAGGAUCAGAUAAGAUGAUAAGAAAUCCCAUUCCUCCCCCAGAUUCCUGUACACCUCAGCCAGAAACCAGACAGUCACAGGAGACACCUUACUCCCUGGUUUCUCACCUCCUACUGUUUCUGCUCGCACCCCCCCCCCAUCUCUCUUGAAUUCAUCCCUUCCUGGAUCUCCCAAUUGCCCCUGCCUGAAGUUAGGCUCUAGUGCUCCCUCACCUGGAUGCCCCAAUUCUGGUGUCCACUUUUACCCUCCAUUGAUGCAUCGGCUCCAUCCACUCCCACCAACCAUUAAAUAGCUUCCAAAAAGGAAGCCGUCUGUCUUUUCUCUCUGCAGCAUCAGUGUCAAGCACAACAAUGUGGAAUAGGCUCCCCUCAGAAUGUUUGAUAAAGAGAUAACUAGGUAGAGGAAUAAAUCAUUGGACAUAGAUGCAAA